UACUAGAGUAGCACUCGCAUAUCAAUAAGCGGAGGAAAAGAAACUAACAAGGAUUCCCCUAGUAACGGCGAGUGAAGCGGGAAGAGCUCAAAUUUGAAAUCUUAAAGGGUUUCCCUUUACGAAUUGUAGUUUAAAGAAGUGUUUUCUGUUGAGGUUUUGGUAAAAGUUCUUUGGAAUAGGACAUCAUAGAGGGUGAGAAUCCCGUAUUUGACCUUUACUUUCAACUUUGUGAUACACUUUCAAAGAGGUCGGAUUGUUUGGGAAUGCAGUCCAAAAUGGGUGGUAAAUUUCAUCUAAAGCUAAAUAUUGGCGAGAGACCGAUAGCGAACAAGUACCGUGAGGGAAAGAUGAAAAGAACUUUGAAAAGAGAGUUAAACAGUACGUGAAAUUGUCAAAAGGGAAGCGUUUGACACCAGUGUUGUUUUUCUGAAAAUCAAUUAAAGAACUGUUUAUGCUAAGUUGUUUAGACUUUAUCAGCUAACUGUUUAGUUUUGAGCUUUUCUUUAAUGCACUUUUCAGUUAACAAGUCAACAUCAAUUUCUUUUGCUGUAAAAAAGCUUGAGGAAGGUGGCUUGAGAUUCGUCUUAAGUGUUUAUAGCCUCUUGCCUAUGCAGUCGGAGAGAUUGAGGUCUGCAGCGUAGAUCCUUCGGGGCUAAAUGCAUUUGUGCUAAGUUAUAGCAUUUUAUAGACAACUUGUUGACUAUGAUUUGUCUUGUAGCUUACUCGCUUAUGUUAUUUUACCUACGCUUAGGAUGUUGAGCGCAUGUCUCUCUCU
RNAcentral lists this ribosomal RNA (775 nucleotides) under uncultured Neocallimastigales. RNAcentral describes it as "partial large subunit ribosomal RNA". It matches the Rfam family "Eukaryotic large subunit ribosomal RNA", at positions 20 to 616 of the family's 3401-position model. The record is from RNAcentral. Lineage: Eukaryota; Fungi; Neocallimastigomycota; Neocallimastigomycetes; Neocallimastigales.